Molecule: ribosomal RNA, 500 nt
Filed under: uncultured bacterium
Lineage: Bacteria
Description: partial 16S ribosomal RNA
Rfam family: Bacterial small subunit ribosomal RNA
Source: RNAcentral
AUUGAACGCUGGCGGAAUGCUUUACACAUGCAAGUCGAACGGCAGCACGGACUUCGGUCUGGUGGCGAGUGGCGAACGGGUGAGUAAUGUAUCGGAACGUGCCCAGUCGUGGGGGAUAACGUAGUGAAAAUUACGCUAAUACCGCAUACGAUCUAUGGAUGAAAGCGGGGGAUCGCAAGACCUCGCGCGAUUGGAGCGGCCGAUAUCAGAUUAGGUAGUUGGUGGGGUAAAGGCCCACCAAGCCAACGAUCUGUAGCUGGUCUGAGAGGACGACCAGCCACACUGGAACUGAGACACGGGCCAGACUCCUACGGGAGGCAGCAGUGGGGAAUUUUGGACAAUGGGCGAAAGCCUGAUCCAGCCAUUCCGCGUGCAGGAUGAAGGCCCUCGGGUUGUAAACUGCUUUUGUACAGAACGAAACGGCUCUGGUUAAUACCUGGGGCUAAUGACGGUACCGUAAGAAUAAGCACCGGCUAACUACGUGCCAGCCGCCGCCGUAA